Molecule: long non-coding RNA, 635 nt
Organism: Prionailurus viverrinus (fishing cat)
Lineage: Eukaryota; Metazoa; Chordata; Mammalia; Carnivora; Felidae
Exons: 5
Source: RefSeq, a predicted model, not a curated record
GGGGAGCGUAGGGUGGGUUCCUGUUGUAGGACUCAGGCUCCGUGUUCGUCGAGAAAUCCGCCGGGAACACGGGGGAUCUCAGCUGUACCCUCAAGGGGCUUACGUAAAGUUGUAAACAAUAAACGAAGGCAAACGCAUUAAGUCAAAAUAUGACCGGUGUUUAAAGAGUUUGAGCCUCAUGAGGGUGACUGUGUGGUCCACAGCUGUGAUUUCUGACAUCUGUCUAGUACAGUAGGUGUACAUGGAGAAGAGCAGCGUGGGUGCAGAAGGGAUUAUGAUCCCCUUUACAUUUGAGAAAACUGAGGCUCCGAGAGCCUCUCUUUUUCUACCAGGUACCUCCGGGCAUCUUCCUCAGCUCGGUUCUUACCGUACUUGUAUUGAUUGGCACCUGCACAGAUAGAAGACAGGAAAAGGCCCCCAUUCCUGACCUCUGCUCUUGUAGGGAUCGCAGUGGUCCCCCAGUGAUGCAUGCAAAAAUCAAUUCUUGUCACAAUGGCCCUGAUCACAAAGAAAGCAUGGAGGGCAGAGAAGGGGACCCAUACUUCCCCCAACUUGCCAGAUACACAAUGGCAUCCCAGGGGAGUUUUCUCCCAGACUUUUGGAUUCGAUAGACUGGUAAAUAAAAAUAAAUAAAU